Molecule: ribosomal RNA, 465 nt
Filed under: uncultured Klebsiella sp.
Lineage: Bacteria; Pseudomonadati; Pseudomonadota; Gammaproteobacteria; Enterobacterales; Enterobacteriaceae
Description: bacterial SSU rRNA
Rfam family: Bacterial small subunit ribosomal RNA
Source: RNAcentral
CCUACGGGAGGCUGCAGUGGGGAAUAUUGCACAAUGGGCGCAAGCCUGACGCAGCCAUGCCGCGUGUGUGAAGAAGGCCUUCGGGUUGUAAAGCACUUUCAGCGGGGAGGAAGGCGUUAAGGUUAAUAACCUUGGCGAUUGACGUUACCCGCAGAAGAAGCACCGGCUAACUCCGUGCCAGCAGCCGCGGUAAUACGGAGGGUGCAAGCGUUAAUCGGAAUUACUGGGCGUAAAGCGCACGCAGGCGGUCUGUCAAGUCGGAUGUGAAAUCCCCGGGCUCAACCUGGGAACUGCAUUCGAAACUGGCAGGCUAGAGUCUUGUGGAGGGGGGUAGAAUUCCAGGUGUAGCGGUGAAAUGCGUAGAGAUCUGGAGGAAUACCGGUGGCGAAGGCGGCCCCCUGGACAAAGACUGACGCUCAGGUGCGAAAGCGUGGGGAGCAAACAGGAUUAGAUACCCUAGUAGUC